GAUGAACGCUGGCGGCGUGCCUAAUACAUGCAAGUCGAGCGAACGGACGAGAAGCUUGCUUCUCUGAUGUUAGCGGCGGACGGGUGAGUAACACGUGGAUAACCUACCUAUAAGACUGGGAUAACUUCGGGAAACCGGAGCUAAUACCGGAUGAUAUUUUGAACCGCAUGGUUCAAAAGUGAAAGACGGUCUUGCUGUCACUUAUGGAUGGAUCCGCGCUGCAUUAGCUAGUUGGUAAGGUAACGGCUUACCAAGGCAACGAUGCAUAGCCGACCUGAGAGGGUGAUCGGCCACACUGGAACUGAGACACGGUCCAGACUCCUACGGGAGGCAGCAGUAGGGAAUCUUCCGCAAAGGGCGAAAGCCUGACGGAGCAACGCCGCGUGAGUGAUGAAGGUCUUCGGAUCGUAAAACUCUGUUAUUAGGGAAGAACAUAUGUGUAAGUAACUGUGCACAUCUUGACGGUACCUAAUCAGAAAGCCACGGCUAACUACGUG
Molecule: ribosomal RNA, 497 nt
Filed under: uncultured bacterium
Lineage: Bacteria
Description: partial 16S ribosomal RNA
Rfam family: Bacterial small subunit ribosomal RNA
Source: RNAcentral